This 497-nucleotide ribosomal RNA is filed under the name uncultured bacterium. RNAcentral describes it as "partial 16S ribosomal RNA". It matches the Rfam family "Bacterial small subunit ribosomal RNA", at positions 30 to 507 of the family's 1533-position model. The record is from RNAcentral.
AUUGAACGCUGGCGGCGUGCCUAAUACAUGCAAGUCGAGCGAACACAUGAAGAACUUUCUCCUCUUACUUUAGCGUCGGGCGGGUGAGUGUCACGUGUAGAACCUACCUUUAUGGCUGGGGUUACUUCGUGGAACCGGUGCUAAUUCCGGAUAAUAUUUUCAACCGCAUGGUUCAAUAGUUAAGGGCGUCUUUCCUUUCGCUGAUACCUGAAUCCGCUCGGGAUUAGCUAGUUGGUCAGGUAACGGCUUACCCAGGCAACGAUGCGUAGCUGAUCUGAGAGGGUGACCAGCCACACUGGAACUGAGACACGGUCCAGACUCCUACGGGAGGCAGCAGUAGGGAAUAUUGCGCAAUGGGCGAAAGCCUGAUGGAGCAAUGCCGCGUGUGUGAAGAAGGUCUUCGGAUUGUAAAACACUGUUAUCAGGGAAGAACAAAUGUGUAAGAAAACAUGCACGCAUUGACGGUACCUAAAGAGAAAGCACCGGCUAACUCCGUG